UACAGAGGUCUCAAGCGUUGUUUCGGAUUCAUUGGGCGUAAAGGUGCGUAGGUGGCGGGGCAAGUUUGGUGUGAAAUCCCGGGGCUCAACCCCGGAACUGCACUGAAUACUGCCUUGCUAGAGCACUGGAGAGGGAACUGGAAUUUACGGUGUAGCAGUGAAAUGCGUAGAUAUCGUAAGGAAGACCAGUGGCGAAGGGCGAGUUCCUGGACAGUUGCUGACACUGAGGCACGAAGGCUAGGGGAGCAAACGGG
This 254-nucleotide ribosomal RNA is filed under the name uncultured bacterium. RNAcentral describes it as "partial 16S ribosomal RNA". It matches the Rfam family "Bacterial small subunit ribosomal RNA", at positions 524 to 776 of the family's 1533-position model. The record is from RNAcentral.